GGGUUAUGUCAUGGACCAGGAACCCACAGUGGAACUUGAAAAGAUGAUGAAAUCCGAGCCAGAUGAUUAUGAUGAAUACUUUGUCAUCAAUCCACUCCCAGUAAAGUGCACGGAAAAAUCAACAGAGGAGGCCCGGAACAAGUAUUCCCAACUUGUGAGCAAAAUGCACUCUGAAUAUAAAGAGGCAGUUGACGAGAAACGUAAAUUCAAGGUAUUUGAUGAGAAGCUCACAUUCGCAACUACCCAUGCAUCAAGACGA
RNAcentral lists this unclassified non-coding RNA (259 nucleotides) under Hevea brasiliensis (rubber tree). Lineage: Eukaryota; Viridiplantae; Streptophyta; Magnoliopsida; Malpighiales; Euphorbiaceae. The record is from RNAcentral.